RNAcentral lists this ribosomal RNA (208 nucleotides) under Pseudoflavonifractor sp. An184. RNAcentral describes it as "partial 23S ribosomal RNA". It matches the Rfam family "Bacterial large subunit ribosomal RNA", at positions 1 to 207 of the family's 2925-position model. The record is from RNAcentral. Lineage: Bacteria; Bacillati; Bacillota; Clostridia; Eubacteriales; Oscillospiraceae.
AGGUCAAGCUGAUAAGAGCGCAAGGGGAAUGCCUUGGCAUCGAGAGCCGAAGAAGGACGUGACAAGCUGCGAUAAGUCUGGGGGAGCCGCACAUAGGCUUUGAUCCCGGAAUUUCCGAAUGGGGAAACCCGGCAGAGCAAUACUCUGUCAACGUGCGUUGAAUCAAAUAGGCGUACGUGGGGAACCGCCUGAACUGAAACAUCUAAGU